RNAcentral lists this ribosomal RNA (503 nucleotides) under uncultured bacterium. RNAcentral's name for it is "bacterial SSU rRNA". It matches the Rfam family "Bacterial small subunit ribosomal RNA", at positions 1 to 507 of the family's 1533-position model. The record is from RNAcentral.
UGCUAGACGAGUUUGAUCAUGGCUCAGAUUGAACGCUGGCGGCAGGCUUAACACAUGCAAGUCGAGCGGUAACACUUCGGGUGACGAGCGGCGGACGGGUGAGUAAUACAUAGGAAUCUGCCUAGUAGUGGGGGAUAACGUAGGGAAACUUACGCUAAUACCGCAUACAUCCUACGGGGGAAAGCAGGGGAUCUUCGGACCUUGCGCUAUUAGAUGAGCCUAUGUCGGAUUAGCUAGUUGGUGAGGUAACGGCUCACCAAGGCAACGAUGCGUAGCCGACCUGAGAGGGUGAUCGGCCACACUGGGACUGAGACACGGCCCAGACUCCUACGGGAGGCAGCAGUAGGGAAUCUUCCGCAAUGGACGAAAGUCUGACGGAGCAACGCCGCGUGAGUGAUGAAGGUUUUCGGAUCGUAAAACUCUGUUGUUAGGGAAGAACAAGUGCCGUUCGAAAGGGCGGCACCUUGACGGUACCUAACGAGAAAGCCACGGCUAACUACGUG